CUAUCUAUGGAUUUUCGAUUUUUUGAGAUUGGAAAGCCACGGUACUCAUAGCAGUGACCAUCCUAAAUCCAUUCUUUCAAAUGACUUUUCAUUGCACUCUUUGGGAGGCUGUCCGAACUGUGGCAGCAACCUUUUGUGCACUCUUCAAUUGGAAGUGGAAGGUUACUAUAUCUCUAGCAGCAACCAUCCUAAGUUUUUCCCUCGAAUAAUAUUUCUG
Molecule: long non-coding RNA, 217 nt
Filed under: Elaeis guineensis (African oil palm)
Lineage: Eukaryota; Viridiplantae; Streptophyta; Magnoliopsida; Arecales; Arecaceae
Description: long non-coding RNA (EGUI_LNC028554)
Source: RNAcentral